AGUACAUUCUCAUUUCUGAUCCAGAAGUAAACACAUUUCAGGACACUUAACAUUUAAAUUCUAUCAAGAAAUUUAUUUUCUUUGAUGUGGAUGCAGCCAAUUUAAAUUUCAUCACAGGUGCAGAAGAACCAGAAGCAAUAGAAAGAGGAGCAAAUCGAUCAUCAUCUAGUGCCUGUGAGCUGGAUUUGGGUCACCUGGGUGCCUCCCUGCUUCGAGAACCAACAGUGUGGUGGUUUCAAGGACCUCGGCUUCUGGUUUGGGACCACAAAUAUUUCCUAAUCUCUAGAAAUGCUCUCAGUUUACGAUCUGCUUUAGACACGCACUACUAAGUUUAUAUCAAAGGACACUCUGGUUUGAAAUGUGCUCUGGUAUCCAUCAAUGAACAUUUUUCUUCAUGCUCGGUAGCAAUGAUGGUUUAAAACUGUUCUUGCCAUUAAUAAAUCUGGAAUAGGGGCGAGGUGCGGUGGCUCACACCUGUAAUCCCAGCAUUUUGGGAGGCCGAGGCAGGCAGAGUACUUGAGGUCAGGAGUUUCAGACCAGCCUGGUCAACAUGGUGAAACCCUGUCUCUGCUAAAAAUACAAAAAUUAGCUGGGUGUGGUGGCAGGUG
RNAcentral lists this long non-coding RNA (608 nucleotides) under Homo sapiens (human). RNAcentral's name for it is "HSALNT0329305". The record is from RNAcentral. Lineage: Eukaryota; Metazoa; Chordata; Mammalia; Primates; Hominidae.